This 893-nucleotide unclassified non-coding RNA is filed under the name Hevea brasiliensis (rubber tree). Lineage: Eukaryota; Viridiplantae; Streptophyta; Magnoliopsida; Malpighiales; Euphorbiaceae. The record is from RNAcentral.
AGUGGUAGUGGAAGUCGAACAGCAGCAGCAGCAGCCAUGUCCACCACUGUCGAAGAACGCGCAGAAGAAACUGUUGAAGCAGCAACGAUACGAGGUCAAAAAGGCGGAGAAAAAGGCAUUGCUGAAAGAGCAGAAGAAGAGAGAAGGGGAGCGCAAGCGUAAGGAAUGGGAGGAGAAGCUGGCCAGCGCCACCGAAGAGGAGAAACAACAGUUGAUAGAGUCGAGGAAGUGCUUAAGGAAAGAGAGAAUGGACCAACGCUCUGAUGAAAAAGGAAAGAAGAUGCAGAGGCUCACUAAUGCUAAAGAAAAUGGCCAAAAUGUAGUUAUUGAUCUCGAGUUUGAUAACCUCAUGAAUUCUAGUGAGCUCCAUAGCCUCGUUCAACAGAUCAUGUACUGUUAUGCGGUGAAUGGAAGGUGUAGUUCUCCUGCUCAUCUCUGGUUGACUGGCUGUCAAGGAGAAAUGCAAGCUCAGUUGCAAAGACUACCAGGUUUUGACAAGUGGGUAAUUGAAAAAGAGAACCGGCCAUAUAUUGAGGCAUUCGAAGAUCAGAAGGAACGCCUUGUGUAUCUCACUGCAGACUCAGAAACAACGCUAGACGUCCUUGAUCCAAAGCAUAUAUAUAUCAUUGGUGGGUUGGUGGAUAGGAAUCGGUGGAAAGGGCUAACCAAGAAAAAAGCAGAAGACCAAGGGAUUCAAACAGCAAAACUCCCUAUAGGAACUUACCUAAAGAUGUCUAGUUCUCAGGUCCUUACAGUCAAUCAAGUGGUAGAGAUACUUCUGAAAUACUUGGAGACAGGAGACUGGAAAACUUCAUUCUUUGCAGUGAUUCCACAGAGGAAAAGAUGUGAGGGUGAUAAUGAUAUUGAAGAUACGGAAGGGAACGAUGAUCACG